This 689-nucleotide long non-coding RNA is filed under the name Cyanistes caeruleus (blue tit). RNAcentral's name for it is "lncRNA (ENSCCEG00000019727.1)". Lineage: Eukaryota; Metazoa; Chordata; Aves; Passeriformes; Paridae. The record is from RNAcentral.
GUGGAAUUGUCUUGGAGCUGCUUGCAGAGGCCUGGGUAAUUCAGUGCAGGAUACUGCAGUGUCUGCUCUGAGCUGACCAAGUCCUCCUCAGGUUCUUGUCCUUGGCUCUAAAUUAUCCUGGGAUUUAUAUUGAUGAAGAAUUUGCUAUGAACAGGUCCUUGAAACAGCUCCUUCUUACUGUACAGAUUUUUCACAGCAUCAAGAUCCAUUCCUUUGUGGGAAGAGACCUGUGGAUGUAUUCUGUUCCAUCAGGAAGCUCACACUUCAGGAUUUUCUCAUUUUCCAGCUGUAUCAAGAUCACCGUGGCAUACACAGGCUGCUGCAAGCCUUUCCAGUAGUUCCUGCAAGAUGGAAGUGCAAGGGCAAAGCAGGAAUCCAGAAGAGACUCCCCAGUUUGCUGGGGCCAGAGAUGCACACACACCUGAGAGUCAGGAGUGCUGUCUCUGCCGCAGCAGGCAGCGCACAGCAACGCAUUCCUGCCAAAACCAGCACAGGGGAGUCUGACAACAACGGCAAGAGCGGCAAUGAAAAGGCGCCUUCUGCCUCGUGCUCAGCAAACUGAACACAGCCCGAGCAACUGUGCUUUUGGGAGAGAAAAGUGAAUCAAUAACUCGAUGAGGACUGUCAAGUAAUGCUGUUGUCUGCAGUGUCUUUAAUGGCUUUGGUCAAUAAACUGAAAUUAUUUUACA